Molecule: microRNA, 23 nt
Filed under: Gallus gallus (chicken)
Lineage: Eukaryota; Metazoa; Chordata; Aves; Galliformes; Phasianidae
Description: microRNA Ros-gga
Source: RNAcentral
UAACUUAUCAAAAUGAUGUUGAC